UUAACUUUUGUUUGAUAACUCAGACGCUGAGAGAGUUGCAGGCUACCCCGAGGGGUACACUGUUGCAGGCACGGACGGGGCCUGCCGCACGAGGCGGCCAGCCACAUAUUCACUAAUGAUCCUUCCGCAGGUUCACCUACGGAAA
RNAcentral lists this unclassified non-coding RNA (145 nucleotides) under uncultured fungus. Its description in RNAcentral is "sequence contains ITS1". The record is from RNAcentral. Lineage: Eukaryota; Fungi.